UAGUCAAUCUGGCAGUCUGGAAUAAUACAAAAAUAAAAACACAAUGUCUUUCAUUAUAACGAAUAAUUUUUAAUUAUAUGAUGCUUAGCCUACUCCUGGUUUUUGGCACUGGAGAAUUGAUUUCAUUGCUGUUAUCUUUCUAUAAGUUCUUCCUCACGUUUUAUAGGGAACUGUUCCCGAAUGGGAUUCAAUUCCCCCUUCUCCUUUACCAGCUGCUUUAUUAAAACAGUUUGAUCCGCUAAAAUUUGGACCACUGCAUUCAAUUGAUCUAAAAACAAUGUUGUUAAUUAAUUUGAUUAUACAAAUAUUUUUCUGUUAAUCUUUAUUAGUCUUAACACGAAUAACUUCAUUCUCCUGUUUUAGAGUUUCUAAAAGUAUUUGCACGUACCUGUUUAUAUUAAUUUGAUUUAUUUAUUAAUUCUUUUCCAUUUUUUUAAUAAAUGUUCACACAAAAGACUCUUCCAGCGAUUAGAUCUUGUACAGAUGUGAACAAAAUCAACGCAUAAAGCAAACGAGGAAAACAAAUGCAUUUUGUUUGUGUAAAUUCUUGUCUCUUUCAUUCCACGAUCGCAACUACAGUAAAAUAUCACGAUUAACUUACCAUUUCGGUGCUCAUUGCAUGUCGUUUCUCGGUAAAAACUAGCUGAGUGGGCACUGUAACUUCACGGAAUUGCGGUUAUUUGCCGCCUUCAAAAACAAACCGAAGGCGGCUUCGUUUUUCGGUUCUUUUUCGACUGGUCCGCGUUCGCUUCCCGCGUAACUAGUUGCGUAGCUAGUUGCGCGGUAAACAGCGCAGAACUAGUUCGAGAGGGGUCAAUUGACCCCUGUGGUUCUACAGGGAACAUUCUCCAGCCAGUCUCAGCCUCGGCUUUGGCUUCGACUUCGGCCAGGGUUAAAAAUAUGCCCACGACCAGCAGCAGCGGACGGACCAGCGAAACAGCAGAGCCACAUCACAUCAGUCCGGGCCCGGGGUUGCUCUGCUCGGCCAUCUUCCAUCUCUCUCUCUGCUCCCCGAUCAGGUCUCUUUGCGUCCACGUACGCGUAACCACAAUUGUGGUCAAAUAAAUAGCAAUGCAAAUGAAAGUUCUGCUAAUUUCCCUGAAAAGUUUUCCAGCAUGUCUAUUACAUCUCUUCCUCAGAGUGUUUUUAAAGAAUAACAGUAGGUGCCCAUCAGGCUUCUUAUAUGAAGAUCUUUCGACUAAAACUGAGACAUGUUCUGUGGGUAGCGUCUGUGUUGCUAUUAUUUUGACCGCUGCUGUGUUCCUGUUCGGCUCUUUGCAAUCUGCUGUCUGUGUGUCACGCUUAUGAUUUAAUAAGCAAAUGAGCUGCAAAAUUGAUGAAACUGUUGUUUGGCCUCCCCUCCCCUCCCCUCCCGCCCUGCACCACUUCCACGGGAGCCGCCGCCAAACCACGCCCGAAAUCACAGUCCGGCGAUCUCCCCCUCCGUAUCGAAAUGCUUUUCCAGUGCGUCACACACAGAAAGUGGGCGUUUACCCCCACAUUCCAUUCCAUUCCAUUUCAUUCAAUUCCAUUCCAUUCCAUUCCCACAUUCGGUUCCCGGGUGAUUUCUUUGCACUGCCAAAUAUUUGUACCGAUUAAGCAAUUGGAGGAUUAUUAUUACCUUUAUCACUCGAUCAAUAAGCUGGGAUUUCGAAAUCAUAAUUAUUUGUAUGGGGAGUGUUUCAGACGACUCAAACGACACAGAGAAUAAUCUGGCCAAAUGCAGAUAACGCAGCGAUCAGUGGAAUUCCCUCGAAUAUGCCACAGCGUAGAAUGUGGAAGUGUAAACUCUCUAAUGGUCUGGUCAGGGUCCUGUCCUGGGUCAGAGCGGAAGCAAAUAUUGAUAAGCCCAGGGAACGGCUCGAGAAAAGAGCUCGAACCCAAACCAAAUUCGAGCCAAGACCACAGAAGCCGCAGGCAAAUAGAGCCAUUCCAGAUAGUGGAACAUGUGAAAAUGCAUUUGGCCGUGAUUAGUCCUGCAUGUCAGUUGGGUCUCUUCUGGGCCUGGCAUAUCGUUUUACAGAAUUUUCCAAUUGUCAACUACCUGCGCGAGAGAAAGAGAGACCCGGGACAGAUAAGGCGUAGAGUGUCUCGGAAGAGGGGGACAAGUCUGUUCUUUCUUCCCCUCUUGUCAAUGGGCACAACUGGGCCAAGCCGCGCCAUUUAGCAAAAUUAGAGUUGGGGGGCAACGCUAAAAAUAGCCACGUUCAGGCGUUCGUUCCUCCGAGCACCCAGAGUAGAGUCCCUGACAGCUGCAUUGUUUUGGGAAAAUGCUCUUGAAAUUUGAGACGUCUGCAAGGAGAAGCAGGAAACCAGCCCCGAACCAACGAGGACGACCAAAGCGGGAGAGAGAUAGAAA
Long non-coding RNA from Drosophila pseudoobscura, 2359 nucleotides. RefSeq lists it as uncharacterized. The transcript has 2 exons. Lineage: Eukaryota; Metazoa; Arthropoda; Insecta; Diptera; Drosophilidae. The record is from RefSeq and is a predicted model, not a curated record.